AUUGAACGCUGGCGGCAUGCUUUACACAUGCAAGUCGAACGGCAGCGCGGGCUUCGGCCUGGCGGCGAGUGGCGAACGGGUGAGUAAUGCAUCGGAACGUGCCCAGUAGUGGGGGAUAGCCCGGCGAAAGCCGGAUUAAUACCGCAUACGACCUGAGGGUGAAAGCGGGGGACCGAAAGGCCUCGCGCUAUUGGAGCGGCCGAUGUCGGAUUAGCUAGUUGGUGGGGUAAAGGCUUACCAAGGCGACGAUCCGUAGCUGGUCUGAGAGGACGACCAGCCACACUGGGACUGAGACACGGCCCAGACUCCUACGGGAGGCAGCAGUGGGGAAUUUUGGGCAAUGGGGGCAACCCUGAUCCAGCCAUGCCGCGUGCGGGAAGAAGGCCUUCGGGUUGUAAACCGCUUUUGUUCGGGAAGAAAUCCUCUGGGCUAAUACCCCGGGGGGAUGACGGUACCGGAAGAAUAAGCACCGGCUAACUACGUG
RNAcentral lists this ribosomal RNA (484 nucleotides) under uncultured bacterium. RNAcentral describes it as "partial 16S ribosomal RNA". It matches the Rfam family "Bacterial small subunit ribosomal RNA", at positions 28 to 507 of the family's 1533-position model. The record is from RNAcentral.